RNAcentral lists this ribosomal RNA (253 nucleotides) under uncultured bacterium. RNAcentral describes it as "partial 16S ribosomal RNA". It matches the Rfam family "Bacterial small subunit ribosomal RNA", at positions 524 to 776 of the family's 1533-position model. The record is from RNAcentral.
UACGUAGGGUGCGAGCGUUAAUCGGAAUUACUGGGCGUAAAGCGUGCGCAGGCGGUUUUGUAAGCCAGAUGUGAAAUCCCCGGGCUUAACCUGGGAAUGGCAUUUGGGACUGCAAGGCUGGAGUGUGGCAGAGGAGACUGGAAUUCCUGGUGUAGCAGUGAAAUGCGUAGAUAUCAGGAGGAAUACCGAUGGCGAAGGCAGGUCUCUGGGCUAACACUGACGCUCAUGCACGAAAGCGUGGGAAGCAAACAGG